CACCGCGGUUAAACGAGAGGCCCUAGUUGAUAGUAUCACGGCGUAAAGGGUGGUUAAGGAAAGCACAAUAAUAAAGCCAAAUGGCCCUUUGGCCGUCAUACGCUUCUAGGUGCCCGAAGCCCAACUCCACGAAAGUAGCUUUAGCAGAGCCCACCUGACCCCACGAAAGCUGAGAAA
Molecule: ribosomal RNA, 177 nt
Filed under: Squalidus chankaensis biwae
Lineage: Eukaryota; Metazoa; Chordata; Actinopteri; Cypriniformes; Gobionidae
Description: partial 12S rRNA
Source: RNAcentral